Molecule: ribosomal RNA, 447 nt
Filed under: uncultured bacterium
Lineage: Bacteria
Description: partial 16S ribosomal RNA
Rfam family: Bacterial small subunit ribosomal RNA
Source: RNAcentral
CCUACGGGUGGCAGCAGUAGGGAAUUUUCGGCAAUGGGGGGAACCCUGACCGAGCAACGCCGCGUGAACGAAGAAGUUAUUCGUAAUGUAAAGUUCUUUUAACAGGGAAGAAAGAGAAAUUUGACGGUACCUGAAGAAUAAGCCCCGGCUAACUACGUGCCAGCAGCCGCGGUAAUACGUAGGGAGCAAGCGUUGUCCGGAUGUACUGGGUGUAAAGGGCGUGUAGCCGGGCUGACAAGUCAGAUGUGAAAUCCGGGGGCUCAACCCCCGAACUGCCUUGGAAACUGGUGGUCUUGAGUAUGGGAGAGGCAGGCGGAAUUCGUGGUGUAGCGGUGAAAUGCGUAGAUAUUAGGAGGAACACCAGUGGCGAAGGCGGCCUGCUGGACGACAACUGACGGUGAGGCGCGAAAGCGUGGGGAGCAAACAGGAUUAGAUACCCGGGUAGUC